AAAGUCGUAACAAGGUUUCCGUAGGUGAACCUGCGGAAGGAUCAUCAUUGAACCUCUAAAUAUCAAAACACGCUCUGUGCACCCAGUGUUGGGGAGGAGGAGGAGAGUAGAGUUUUACUCGUCUUUUCUCUCUUUUCCCCACAUUUUUAAAACAAUAAACCCCUUUUUACCUCUUUAUCCUUUACUUAAAACACAAAACAUAACCAAAAGACAACUUUUAACAACGGAUCUCUUGGCUCUC
Molecule: unclassified non-coding RNA, 241 nt
Filed under: Basidiomycota sp.
Lineage: Eukaryota; Fungi; Basidiomycota
Description: partial contains small subunit ribosomal RNA, internal transcribed spacer 1, and 5.8S ribosomal RNA
Rfam family: Eukaryotic small subunit ribosomal RNA (bases 1-47)
Source: RNAcentral